GUUCCUGUAGCGCAAUGGACAGCGCAUUGGACUUCUCAUCCAAAGAUCGUUGGCUCGAAUCCUACCUGGGAUG
Molecule: transfer RNA, 73 nt
Filed under: Trichonephila inaurata madagascariensis
Lineage: Eukaryota; Metazoa; Arthropoda; Arachnida; Araneae; Nephilidae
Rfam family: tRNA
About the family: Transfer RNA (tRNA) molecules are approximately 80 nucleotides in length. Their secondary structure includes four short double-helical elements and three loops (D, anti-codon, and T loops). Further hydrogen bonds mediate the characteristic L-shaped molecular structure. tRNAs have two regions of fundamental functional importance: the anti-codon, which is responsible for specific mRNA codon recognition, and the 3' end, to which the tRNAs corresponding amino acid is attached (by aminoacyl-tRNA synthetases). tRNAs cope with the degeneracy of the genetic code in two manners: having more than one tRNA (with a specific anti-codon) for a particular amino acid; and 'wobble' base-pairing, i.e. permitting non-standard base-pairing at the 3rd anti-codon position.
Source: Rfam by way of RNAcentral